This 468-nucleotide ribosomal RNA is filed under the name uncultured bacterium. Its description in RNAcentral is "partial 16S ribosomal RNA". It matches the Rfam family "Bacterial small subunit ribosomal RNA", at positions 28 to 507 of the family's 1533-position model. The record is from RNAcentral.
GACGAACGCUGGCGGCGUGCUUAACACAUGCAAGUCGAACGGAAAGGCCCUGCUUUUGUGGGGUGCUCGAGUGGCGAACGGGUGAGUAACACGUGAGUAACCUGCCCUUGACUUUGGGAUAACUUCAGGAAACUGGGGCUAAUACCGGAUAGGAGCUCCUGCUGCAUGGUGGGGGUUGGAAAGUUUCGGCGGUUGGGGAUGGACUCGCGGCUUAUCAGCUUGUUGGUGGGGUAGUGGCUUACCAAGGCUUUGACGGGUAGCCGGCCUGAGAGGGUGACCGGCGACAUGGGGACUGAGAGACGGACCAGAAUCCUACGGGAGGCAGCAGGGGGGAAUAUUGCACAAUGGGCGGAAGCCUGAUGCAGAAACGCCGGGUGCGGGAUGACGGCCUUCGGGUUGUAAACCGCUUUCGCCGGUGACGAAGCGUGAGUGACGGUAAUGGGUAAAGAAGCACCGGCUAACUACGUG